AGAGUUUGAUCCUGGCUCAGGAUGAACGCUGGCGGCGUGCUUAACACAUGCAAGUCGAACGAACCUUCGGGUUAGUGGCGGACGGGUGAGUAACGCGUGAGAAUCUGCCCUCAGGAGGGGGAUAACGGCUGGAAACGGCCGCUAAUACCCCAUAUGCCGAGAGGUGAAACGAGUUUUCGCCUGAGGAUGAGCUCGCGUCUGAUUAGCUAGUUGGUGAGGUAAUGGCUCACCAAGGCAUCGAUCAGUAGCUGGUCUGAGAGGAUGAUCAGCCACACUGGGACUGAGACACGGCCCAGACUCCUACGGGAGGCAGCAGUGGGGAAUUUUCCGCAAUGGGCGAAAGCCUGACGGAGCAACGCCGCGUGAGGGAUGAAGGCCUCUGGGCUGUAAACCUCUUUUCUCAAGGAAGAAGACCUGACGGUACUUGAGGAAUAAGCCACGGCUAAUUCCGUGCCAGCAGCCGCGGUAAUACGGGAGUGGCAAGCGUUAUCCGGAAUUAUUGGGCGUAAAGCGUCCGCAGGCGGCCUUUUAAGUCUGUUGUCAAAGCGUGGAGCUUAACUCCAUUUCGGCAAUGGAAACUGGGAGGCUUGAGUGUGGUAGGGGCAGAGGGAAUUCCCGGUGUAGCGGUGAAAUGCGUAGAUAUCGGGAAGAACACCAGUGGCGAGGGCGCUCUGCUGGGCCAUAACUGACGCUCAUGGACGAAAGCCAGGGGAGCGAAAGGGAUUAGAUACCCCUGUAGUCCUGGCCGUAAACGAUGAACACUAGGUGUCGGGGGAAUCGACCCCCUCGGUGUCGUAGCCAACGCGUUAAGUGUUCCGCCUGGGGAGUACGCACGCAAGUGUGAAACUCAAAGGAAUUGACGGGGGCCCGCACAAGCGGUGGAGUAUGUGGUUUAAUUCGAUGCAACGCGAAGAACCUUACCAGGGUUUGCAUCCUGCGAAUCCCUUGGAAACUUGGGAGUGCCUUCGGGAGCGCAGAGACAGGUGGUGCAUGGCUGUCGUCAGCUCGUGUCGUGAGAUGUUGGGUUAAGUCCCGCAACGAGCGCAACCCACGUCUUUAGUUGUCAGCAUUGAGUUGGGCACUCUAGAGAGACCGCCGGUGAUAAACCGGAGGAAGGUGUGGAUGACGUCAAGUCAUCAUGCCCCUUACAUCCUGGGCUACACACGUACUACAAUGCUACGGACAAAGGGCAGCAAACUCGCGAGAGCUAGCAAAUCCCAUAAACCGUGGCUCAGUUCAGAUCGUAGGCUGCAACUCGCCUACGUGAAGGAGGAAUCGCUAGUAAUCGCAGGUCAGCAUACUGCGGUGAAUACGUUCCCGGGCCUUGUACACACCGCCCGUCACACCAUGGAAGUUGGCCACGCCCGAAGCCGUUACUCCAACCCUUGUGGAGGAGGACGUCGAAGGUGGGGCUGAUGACUGGGGUGAAGUCGAAACAAGGUA
This 1443-nucleotide ribosomal RNA is filed under the name metagenome. RNAcentral describes it as "bacterial SSU rRNA". It matches the Rfam family "Bacterial small subunit ribosomal RNA". The record is from RNAcentral.